GAGUGUCGUUGUCCCUGCGGACAAGCUACUCAGAGCUGCCCGCUCGUUCUGCAAAGGGCACCCGCCGGGGUCUCCUAGGAGCAGACCUGCUCGGGGUGCAUCCGGCCGUGGGAACGCGGCGUCUGCUGCUGGGGCCAAGUCUCAGUCCGUCUCCCGUCAUGCGGACCCACCGUGGGCAUCCGGCCUGUGACGCGAGCAAGUGAGAAGGACGUAGCGGGUACCCUGGAGCCCUGGGCCGCAGCAAAGCGCCAGGAAGUGGACCGGAAGGAGACACCAGGCUUUCUAAGGGUUUGUGACUGACGAGCGUGUCACAACGGGUGUGCGACAUCACUCCACUCACACAUCACCCCCACUUGGAAGACAAGAGAAGGUUCUCCGGCUGGGGCUACAGUGUAUGUGGCCCUGCGAUCGGCCCUGUGGUGUUGGAGCCACGGGGCUUUGACGUGAUCUUGAGACCCGACCCUUCUUGACAGAAGAAAACUCAGAGGUUCCUCUGGGGUGAAGAGAACCACUAUUUCCGUGGAAAGCACCUCUCCUCUCACGGAGAGGGUAUCGGACUCGAGUAGGCACCUAGCGCCAGACCAUGGGCCACACCAAAUGACCACGUAACCCGAUGACGGUCCUCAGCCGCGUGUUUUCUGAGCCACGAGACCACACCAGCGGGCGCGUCUGGUCACAUUGCGAGUGGAACUUGCACACGAGAGCAGGCUCCAGCAGGACCCUUGCAGCCCCGACGUGCCUGCCCUGCUGCUCAGACCGGGUCUGUUGGUGGACAAACACAGAUCCACACGGCCUGUGUCCCCACGUGGUUAAACGCUCAACACAGCAAGCUCCACUCUGCCGUGAAGUCCGGUCCUCUGAGCACACUCGGACGACUGCAUUGCAACAAGUCACUUAUGAAGCUGUCAGCCGGACAGUGGUGUUGACCCCUCGGAGCCACGACUCCUUCCAAAAUCAGAGACAUCCCUGGGAGGGAAAGGAGGCCUGUGGCCAGCCCUGGGCUGCUGGGGGCCUCCCACCUGCUUCCCCUGAUGCAACAGAGUCUCCUGAAGACUGACGGCCACUGGGGGGAGCCGCCCCCAGGCCAGGGGACACCUGGUCCCGUGAGCAGCAGACGCGGGGCCGUGCCAACGACCGAAGGCACGCCACAGUGUGGUUCGGAGGAGAGGGGGGCGGGUUAGAGAAAGGCUGAAAGGCCCGUAUGAGAGACCGUGUCUCGGUUAAUUUUUUUUUUUAAGUUUAUUUAUUUCUUUAGAGAGAUUGAGAGCAUGAGCAGGAAAGGGGCAGAGAAGGAAUCCCAAGCAAGCCCUGUGCUGUCGGCACUGAGCCGGACGCGGGGCUCAAACCCACGAACAGUGAGACCGGGCCCUGAGCUGAAAUCAAGAGUCGGGCACUUAGCCGACCGAGCCGCCCAGGCGCCCCCAUGUCUGGGUUGCAAGUUGUUAGGUUUCUGACCACACAUCAACCACAGGGCAGGAGAGGCCUCCACACAUGCAGAGGUCAGAGGGACUUGCUUACUGGAGACUGACAAAAAGUCACACAGCUUUGUGUAAGAAUCUGCGAGGGAGUCCGACGGAGGAGUCCCAGACCUCACCAGACGGGCCUCCAAAUUACUGUUCUCGGGGCAGCUGUUUGAGGAGGAAGAAAGGUUGGUGGUAAUUCGACGAUGGCUGGGUUGGGUGGGGACAUGGGUGGGGUUCAGGGACCGGGGCGGGGCGGGGAGGGGGGCACCGCGGGUACGUUGAGCCCCUGAAGUUACAUUUGUGCGGAGCAGCCUUCUGAGGGAAGGACGGACAGCGUCCACCCCCGGGCCCGGAAGGGGCCUCAGACCCACUGUGUCAGGGGCGCCGUCCGAUACAAUGGCCGCGAACUCGUCUCCGUGCACGCGGGCUGGGGCACGGAGCUGUCACGGGACGGAGCACUGCUCUUAGCGCCUGGGAGUCGUGGUGUAUGUGGAGUAGAUUCGGACAACCCGAGCCCUGCCUGCAGCCGGGAAGGCGGAAAGUCCCUAACGGCUUGUUUUAAGUCAAGGCAAAAGAGGGUGUUAUUAACACCGACACCGGAAGCAGACCCCACCUGGGAGUCCAGGAAUCCAAGCCAGGAAACGGGGUGUCCGAGUGAGGGGUAGUUUCAGACCGACCGGUAAAGACCUUAGUCGAUAAACUCUUCUCCGCCUGAAAGGGGAAGAGCAUCUACCAAAGGGCGCCCUCUGCAGGUGCACGGGCUGUGAUCCCAGGGGUGGCCCUGACCUUCCGCAGGCAGGCCGUGUGAGCGACCAGCUCUAAGGCCCGGGGGCCGCCGGGUUGGAUCAAACAACAGUUGCACACGUCACAGCUUGAACCCGCAGCCCCUCCUGUGGGUACAGGGAGACCCCGCCGGGCUGGGUUGGACAGAUAAAGCCGUAUUUGACAAGCCAGCGCCCCUCAGGGCCAGAGCCAUAAGGGACCACAAAGUUACAGGACCGUGGCAGGUGCCCAGAGAAGAGUUCUGCACCGCCCUUGGAGAGAGGACAGAGUGCGAGAUCCCACAGGACAGGGCAGCCCCGUGUCACAGGCGAACAUGGUGGUCGGUCGUCCCCUCUCCCACCUCGGGAGGCGGAAUGUGCAAGGACCUAUAGGACUCCUCCACGAUGACGUGAUGGGAUGGAGAGAAUGGUGUCCAACAGGACUGCAGAGGUUGAAGAAGGCUGACCGGCCGGAGGAGGAGACAAGCAGUCAGAGUGCGGAGGCUGGACCGCCCGUGAGGAGGGCCACUUGUCGGGAGGGGUCGCCCUGGCACCGAGGCGGUCAGGCACGCGGGCAGCCCCCCACCCCUGCCCUGCCGCGGCCUCCAGAUGCCGCUGGGGUCACCGCACCAGCCGGUGGAUUAGCCCAGGCGAGCACUUCUGCGGGGUGCACACGGGGCACCCGUGCAACGCGCGUACCUGG
Molecule: long non-coding RNA, 2927 nt
Organism: Panthera uncia (snow leopard)
Lineage: Eukaryota; Metazoa; Chordata; Mammalia; Carnivora; Felidae
Exons: 3
Source: RefSeq, a predicted model, not a curated record